UCACUCUCGAUGGCAUGGAGACGAA
Molecule: non-coding RNA, 25 nt
Filed under: Mus musculus (house mouse)
Lineage: Eukaryota; Metazoa; Chordata; Mammalia; Rodentia; Muridae
Source: RNAcentral